AUCGCUUCUCGGCCUUUUGGCUAAGAUCAAGCGCAGUAUC
Molecule: small nuclear RNA, 40 nt
Filed under: Cervus elaphus hippelaphus
Lineage: Eukaryota; Metazoa; Chordata; Mammalia; Artiodactyla; Cervidae
Source: RNAcentral